CACGUAGGUGGAUAUUUAAGUCAGGGGUGAGAUCCCAGAGCUCAACUCUGGAACUGCCUUUGAUACUGGGUAUCUUGAGUAUGGAAGAGGUAAGUGGAAUUCCGAGUGUAGAGGUGAAAUUCGUAGAUAUUCGGAGGAACACCAGUGGCGAAGGCGGCUUACUGGUCCAUUACUGACGCUGAGGUGCGAAAGCGUGGGGAGCAAACA
Molecule: ribosomal RNA, 207 nt
Filed under: uncultured bacterium
Lineage: Bacteria
Description: partial 16S ribosomal RNA
Rfam family: Bacterial small subunit ribosomal RNA
Source: RNAcentral